AAACAUCAAGCACUCGUCUAUGAAGUGAGUGUAGAAACAGAGAUACUGAUAGAUAUUAAGAUAAAUAGAUAAAUAUAGAUAUGGGUAUGAAUAUAAAAGGACAACAGUGGCAGGGAGCAGUGAGGUGUGAUUAAUGUGUUUGUUCACAGUUAACCUGGUUACUGACAACUAGCCGUCUGAAAGGAGUUAAACGCAUUUUUAAGACCAGUGAGCGCUUUAACCACAGAGCUUGGAACCGUGAUGAUGAAGUUCAAAGCAGGUUUGAACUCGACUGUCAUUAGAAAGUACAGCUUUGUGACUGUCACUGGUUCACAGACUGAGAACCAUGUGGCCUGGACAGUAGUUAGUAAUGUCUCUGCUCCUUUUUAGAGACCCGGCUUUAGCCUACAUGUGGCGAUGAGCUGGAAUGUCUGGAGCGCUUUGGUGACAUCGGAGUCUGUCUGUCAGACUCAGACUAUCUCUGCCUAAAGGACGACGAAAUCUUGUCCGACUCCAUCUCUUGCAUCUCUUUCCUGUCAGACACCAAAUGUAAGCUCAGAUUCGCUACUUGAGCUUCGCAGGCUGAGAAAAGCUGUGUGGGAUUAUCAAUGACACGUCACCAGGUGAGUGAUCUGCCCCCAAACCCGACAGAAGAUGGCCCUGAGGAGCACGAUGAAAGGAAAUACGUCGAUUUGGACUCAGUGGACGUGAAAACAGACCCAGGCUUUAGUGAGAGAAACCAAAUGUCUGUCAUUGUUUCCCACAGCGGAGCUGGAGCUCCGUGCGCAACGGGACUCAAAACCGAGGUCGAUACUAAGACGACAGAGAAUGCCACAGCUGGGAAAUACGGAGAUGGUGUUAAGCACCAUCACGCUGACGCGUCACCGCCAUCGAUUCCUUUUUGUUCAAACGCAAAGUCGGAGCGUUUCCACGAGCAGCACGAGGUGUCCAAAACGGAAAGCAGCGCAAGCCUGCAGCCAGACGUGGAUUUGCGCACUAGUGAUAAUUAUCUCGGGGAGACAAGUGAGCUGGAUGAUUAUGAAGUGGACGAUGGUAUAAGUUUGGUGCUUUCUGAUGACUGCAUUCCGUGCGCCACGGAGGAUGAAUCCCAUUAUAUUACCACGCACGAGAUCCAGCUCUCGGAACUUUCUGACCACGAGGAGGACUACGAACUCGGAGUGGGCUCUUCCACGAGCUGGGACGUUGAAGAAGACAACCGGGUUUACUCAUUUGCCGAUUACGCUUCUUUUGAGGCCGGGGGCGCGGUGGGCGAGAGGGGCCACGGCCGCCAGCCUGGCUCUCAGGGCGCAGCAGCAACAGUCAGCACUCUGCUGGAAAGUGAUCCGUGCGAAGCGGCCAAAUUCACCAGCUCAGAUGAGAGUGUGUCAAAGCCCGAGCAGCAGCACUGCAGUGGCAACAGUGGCGGACAGAUUCACCUGUCAAUCAGAACCACCUCUCGAGCUAUAAAUGACCCUAGCAACAUCCAAGAACAGGAAAAGAUUCUUUAUCGUGCCAGGCGCUCCGGAGAUGUGAGUCGCUAUGUGUUUAGGGGGGUUGAUGGGAAGGCAGAGACGGUGUGUGACACGGCAAAGUGUUUGGUAGCAGCGCCCGGGCGCGUACACUUUGGCGGCAAAUUAAGGGGGAAAGAAGUCCCCGAAUAUUCCAGCGGCACGUCCAGUGCUGUCAGCGAGCUGGACGACGCUGACAAGGAGGUGCGCACUCUGACAGCCAGAGCCUUCAAGAGCCUGGCGUAUCCUUACUUUGAUGCCAUUCAUUUCAGCACCUCCAGUGAGUCUUCUGCAUCAGAGCAUGCCGUGGGGAUAAACAGGUGGUCCACGUUUGUGGACCUGAAAUAUGGUAACAUGAAUAUGGACCAAAGUCUUGUUUCUCAUCAAAGCUCAGCGGCCUCGUUUCAAAUAGCCAAAAGCAUAGACAAUAGGGGUUAUAAGGGCAUCAUCAAAGCGCCCGCCAGCGAGAUAUUACCUCCCCACGGCGCAUCGUCAUCUACAAAGAAAAUAGAGCUGAUGGGGAAAUUUGGUCAGGGCCACAGUGGCGUCAUAAGGCUGACAGAGACUCUGAAUUUUCGUUGCAACGUCAAAUCGGGAAUUCCUGCGGGAGAAUCACGCACUAACUUUGCACAAAACGCAGCAGGAUCACGUUCCACAGAUGAAGUUACCAACGCAAGCCAGAGCAGGGGGGGCAGCAAGCCGCCCUCUAAAACCAUGGAAGACACGCACAAGAAGGCCGUGUUUGCUUCGAGUCUCAUCAAAAAUGUCAUUUCUAAGAAAAUGCAGUUCGAGCAGGAGCGCAAGAUGGAGAGAGGCGAAAUAAGCGAGGCGCAGCAGACGCCCUCUCCCUGCUUUCUGCACCAGGAAAGCGACGACGUCAGAGGGAAGCACAACUCCAAGCUUUCGGAGAGCAGCUCCGACUACACCAUAAUGUGCGUGAAUGAGUUAGGGGACAUCGCGGAUGCCAAGAGCGACUCUCGGAGGCAACAAACUGGAGUUGAUACUAAAAAAGGCGCACUGGACUCAUCCAGAAGCACGCUGCAUCGCAGCCAAAAUAGCGCGUUCAGAUGCUGGAAGGAUGACGAGCUAGAAUUUCAAAAGGAUCCUAAAAACGAUCAAACACCAGAGGACAAGCUUGCAGCUGACGACACACAGGGCGAGGGGAGUCCGUACUCGGCGGGCAGCAGCAAACUCAAGAAAAUGGCUCAUUUAUUUGUGCCAAAUAUCCAAACGCUGCCCAACGAAGGCGAAGCCACGCAGCAGCUGCAGAGCAGGAAUUAUUCUACGCGUGGACACGGACGUGGAACCAAAGUACGCUCUGUCGCAGACUCUGUGACCACAUCCAAAUCUCCAGAAAUUCAAAUUAACUUGAGGCGCGUCAAAGACGAUAAAACCGAGCCGUGCGCCGUCUCCAAACUGCGCGCUCCUAAUUUAGGCUGCAGCAUCACCCGAACAGAUCACGCCAAAUCCCACGCGCUUGCUACAGCUUUGAAGGGUGAGUUUUCAGAUAAAGUUCCACAUUUCAUGGUUCGAGACAUUCGAGAUAAUAAGGGGAAGCUGCAGACUCCCAUUUACCAAGUGAGAGACGUGCGUAAGCUGGUUAAAAGUUCGUAUCACUUUGUUUCUUUGGAUAACAACGAGAAUAAAUCCCACAGCGCCUCCGCUGACAGACAUCCAGAGCAAAACAAGCAAGUGCCCAAUCAAAGUUUUAAUACUGUGUCGCCUAUAGUGAUCAAGUGCCAGUCUGUGAAUACUAGCAGUAACGGAAAACAAUGUGGAAACCUUCAAGGAGCUAAACGGGAACCACUUGACGUGGACAGAUCGUCUCCAGAGGGCGUCAAAACCGCUUCAACGCAAAGAGCAACAGGGAGCGCAUCUUCAGGCACCUCAAAUAAUGCCUCGCAGGGAAACACCGACUUAAGAAGUGAAAGCAGAAUAUCUACAAAGAGGCAAGAGAAAGUAUCAGAUAUCAUAGAUAAAAAGCCCGAGUCAAAGGUGCCAAACCAGGUGGCUCUGCAAAAACUGCAGGCUGCCGUGAAAACCAUGGAGCAGCUCUAUGUGUUUCAAAAGAAUGAGUGGAAGAGGAAGAACGAGCCUCGGCCGCUGACAGACAGCCACGUGCUUUCACUGAUAGCAAGUGAGGAGCAUCCAGGACACGAAGAGGAGACUGCAUGGACGUCCAGCGCAGACAAGUCUACCAGAAGAAGCUCCCAGUCCAACACAGACAAGCCCCCACCAGGACGAGCAGGUGACAGCCUGCUGAAGCAGGAGGAGAAAGACCCACUCAAACCACACCCCACGUCUGUGGGCUGUGAUGAUAGGCCUAAGUCAGUGCAAGCCCCUAGCAGUGUCAAGGUCUCCAAAACGUCAAAGACACCCCAACCGAACACGGUCACACAAACACCUUUCAGCACCAAAACCUUUGUCCCUAAGUCCCCCAAACUGCCCGCAUCAUUCAGCAUCUGUGAGAGGAGGUCAGCUGGGAACGAAGACGCCGAACUGAAGGAGGCCGACAGAUUUGCACACGAGUUUUCAACUGACAAUGAGAACUACCUCGCUAUUCCAGUCAAGUCUCAGCCUAGCAAAAGCAAACAGCCCCCAUCUGCUGAUAAAGCAUCCAUCUAUACCUUCUCCACCCAGUCACAUCCACCCACACCUCCAGUACACCUGGAACCUGGGCUCAGAGGGCAGGAGGAGCAUAAACACACAGCUAAGUACUCACCAGAGAUCCCCUCAGCUAUCUACCAUUCUUUGCCCCUCGGGAUGCCAGCCAAUCAGCCACAGGUCUACUGCUUCUCUCCAGCAAUCACCCCGGCUCCCACCCUGGACCCGUUCCAGGCCACCCAGAGGAAAAUGCUGCUGGAUCCUAGCACUGGAAACUACUACCUGGUAGACACACCCGUGCAGCCUGCCACCAAGCGUCUCUUUGAUCCAGAAACAGGUCAAUAUGUGGAUGUGCCUAUGCCACAGCCUCCCAUGACACCUGUACCCAUGUCCAUCUCACCUUUAGCUCUCAGUUCUGGCAUUUAUGGCCACACGUACAUGAUCUACCCGGGUCUCAUGCCGACGCCGUCAGUGAUCCCUGCCAGGGCGCUGCUACAGUCACAGAUGUCGGUGCAGGCAGAGGUGGACAGCAGCGAUAAAAGCUCCUCGCAGCAGACUGAGGGCAUGCACGUCGAGAGUCCUUUCUACAUGUCCACCGGAAAGUCUUCCCAGGUAGCCUCAGGUGUUCAACAGCAGGCUGCUGCUAACAGGCCACAGCAGGGUCUUUCUAGCAUCAAGCAGCCAGUCAUCAGCAUCACCUCCCAGCAGGGGCCCCGGAUCAUCGCCCCCCCGUCAUUUGACGGGACGACUAUGAGCUUCAUGGUGGAGCACCAAUGAACGGCAGGUCGUCUGGACAGGAAAUCAGUGAUAUAACAGGAUGCUGGGCGUCGUUUCUAACAGUGAAACAGGAAGAGAUGUGCUGUAACUGUAAAGCCUGCAGCCUCAGGGCUGAGCUGUAAGCUGGACGCUGUGGAAACAAUCACACAGGAGCUGAACGAGCCUGAUGUGUGUGAUGUACGCCGCACUGUGUGAUAACCAAACUGUGAGAGUGUGAAAUAGAUGAAUAGUUACUUUUGUCCAGCUGUUACACUUUCUGUACUUUUUAGAUGUGCGUGACAUGAAGUUAGAAGACAUCAUAUUCAAACUGAGGUUGUUUCUGUUUGCACAUUGGAGUUUGUGCAGUGGGUCUGCUGGACAGUCCGUCUGUUGGAAACAUGUCACAUGACACAGGUUACAGAGCUGGAACGCUUUUCUGAGGUUUUUACUGCUGAAUGUUUUAUUGUGAAGUGUUUGAAAGCGCGAUCCCUGUUUAGUGUUAGUAUCCUGGUACAGGCUUCCAUCAAACACACGUUUCUACCCAAGCUAAUAUGAUAUUUUAUAUUUUUGUACCUGACUCUAAGCUUCACUGCUGCACUGCUAUCAGAAAUCAUUUUCCUCCCAUGCCUUACAAACAGCUCGCCUGCUGAAACUGUAUCUGUGUAUUUGUGAAGGAUAAACCACCUGUGAGUUUAUUCAGGUCUUAAUAGUGAACACUGCUGUUUCUUAAAGCUCCAUGGUCCCAGUAAUACAGUGUUGUUCUCUUCUUCUGGGGGUUUGAUCAUAUUUUGUUCAUGUCAUGUUUCUGAUUGUGCAUGAUUUUUCUUUCUUUCUUUUUUUUAAACUUUUGCAUAAAGUAGGAAAUGUUUUCUAUAAGUGUAGAUGCAUUUUUGCACAGCAGGGCCUCUGAUGCCUCAGAGCAGUGUCUCUGCUGCGCGUACAGGAAGUGUUGAAGGAAGAUGAAGGUGGUGGACAGACGGGAGCGUGGGAAUAAAGAGGACUCGUGGAUGAAAUGAUAAUGAAAUGAUAAACAUGCAGUGUCAAAAACAACCAUGAUGACUUUGAGCUGUUUGCACAGCUACAGUGUCAGGUUCACAUUUACUGUGAAAACUGAAUAAACAGGAAAACUCUGUAAUCACCUGC
This is an RNA transcript of Oreochromis niloticus (Nile tilapia), 5990 nucleotides long. It is a transcript of the gene named linkage group 3 C4orf54 homolog, with no coding region annotated. Lineage: Eukaryota; Metazoa; Chordata; Actinopteri; Cichliformes; Cichlidae. The transcript is spliced from 3 exons. The record is from RefSeq and is a predicted model, not a curated record.